CCCUUAGAUGUUCUGGGCCGCACGCGCGCUACACUGAUGCAUUCAACGAGUCUAAAACCUGCUCUGAUAGGGGUGGGUAAUCUUUUGAAUAUGCAUCGUGAUUGGGAUAGAUGAUUGCAAUUUUUCAUCUUCAACGAGGAAUGCCUAGUAAACGCAAGUCAUCAGCUUGCAUUGAUUACGUCCCUGCCCUUUGUACACACCGCCCGUCGCUCCUACCGAUUGAAUGAUCCGAUGAAUAUCAUGGAUUGAGGAUGCAAGCAGGUUCGCCUGUCUUCAUCUUCGAGAAGUGAAGUAAAUCUUAUCAUUUAGAGGAAGGAGAAGUCGUAACA
This 329-nucleotide ribosomal RNA is filed under the name uncultured eukaryote. RNAcentral's name for it is "partial 18S ribosomal RNA". It matches the Rfam family "Eukaryotic small subunit ribosomal RNA", at positions 1470 to 1796 of the family's 1831-position model. The record is from RNAcentral.